AGUGAACGCUGGCGGUAGGCCUAACACAUGCAAGUCGAACGGCAGCACAGUAAGAGCUUGCUCUUACGGGUGGCGAGUGGCGGACGGGUGAGGAGUACAUCGGAAUCUACUUUUUCGUGGGGGAUAACGUAGGGAAACUUACGCUAAUACCGCAUACGACCUACGGGUGAAAGCAGGGGAUCUUCGGACCUUGCGCGAUUGAAUGAGCCGAUGUCGGAUUAGCUAGUUGGCGGGGUAAAGGCCCACCAAGGCGACGAUCCGCAGCUGGUCUGAGAGGAUGAUCAGCCACACUGGAACUGAGACACGGUCCAGACUCCUACGGGAGGCAGCAGUGGGGAAUAUUGGACAAUGGGCGCAAGCCUGAUCCAGCCAUACCGCGUGGGUGAAGAAGGCCUUCGGGUUGUAAAGCCCUUUUGUUGGGAAAGAAAAGCAGCAGGUUAAUACCCCGCUGUUCUGACGGUACCCAAAGAAUAAGCACCGGCUAACUUCGUG
This 492-nucleotide ribosomal RNA is filed under the name uncultured bacterium. RNAcentral describes it as "partial 16S ribosomal RNA". It matches the Rfam family "Bacterial small subunit ribosomal RNA", at positions 29 to 507 of the family's 1533-position model. The record is from RNAcentral.